AGUGAACGCUGGCGGCAGGCCUAACACAUGCAAGUCGAACGGCAGCACAGAGGAGCUUGCUCCUUGGGUGGCGAGUGGCGGACGGGUGAGGAAUACAUCGGAAUCUGCCUAUUUGUGGGGGAUAACGUAGGGAAACUUACGCUAAUACCGCAUACGACCUACGGGUGAAAGCGGAGGACCUUCGGGCUUCGCGCAGAUAGAUGAGCCGAUGUCGGAUUAGCUAGUUGGCGGGGUAAAGGCCCACCAAGGCGACGAUCCGUAGCUGGUCUGAGAGGAUGAGCAGCCACACUGGAACUGAGACACGGUCCAGGAUCCUACGAGAGGAAGCAGUGGGGAAUAUUGGACAAUGGGCGCAAGCCUGAUCCAGCCAUGCCGCGUGGGUGAAGAAGGCCUUCGGGUUGUAACGCCCUUUUGUUGGGAAAGAAAAGCAGUCGGUUAAUACCCGAUUGUUCUGACGGUACCCAAAGAAUAAGCACCGGCUAACUUCGUGCCAGCAGCCGCAGUAA
This 506-nucleotide ribosomal RNA is filed under the name uncultured bacterium. RNAcentral describes it as "partial 16S ribosomal RNA". It matches the Rfam family "Bacterial small subunit ribosomal RNA", at positions 29 to 523 of the family's 1533-position model. The record is from RNAcentral.